This 151-nucleotide small nucleolar RNA is filed under the name Citrus sinensis (sweet orange). RNAcentral's name for it is "small nucleolar RNA snoR137". It matches the Rfam family "small nucleolar RNA snoR137". The record is from Rfam by way of RNAcentral. Lineage: Eukaryota; Viridiplantae; Streptophyta; Magnoliopsida; Sapindales; Rutaceae.
GUUGCUUCUUACUGGUGAACUCUCUCUAAUUAAUAAAUAGUGAGGGAUGUUCAUGUUUCCGAAGCAUAGAUUAAUAUUUUUUUUGCCAGUUUUAAACAGCGCUGUGUAUGCUUCAAUUGCACUGUUUUGCUACCUGUCUGCUGGUAUAUUU